CCUACGGGUGGCAGCAGUGAGGAAUAUUGGUCAAUGGCCGUAAGGCUGAACCAGCCAAGUAGCGUGAGGGAAGACUGCCCUAUGGGUUGUAAACCUCUUUUAUGCGGGGAUAAAGGUGUCCACGUGUGGAUGUUUGCAGGUACCGCAUGAAUAAGGACCGGCUAAUUCCGUGCCAGCAGCCGCGGUAAUACGGAAGGUCCGGGCGUUAUCCGGAUUUAUUGGGUUUAAAGGGAGCGUAGGCCGGUCUUUAAGCGUGUCGUGAAAGUUUGCGGCUCAACCAUGAAAGUGCGGCGCGAACUGGAGGCCUUGAGUGCGCGUAAGGCAGGCGGAAUUCGUGGUGUAGCGGUGAAAUGCUUAGAUAUCACGAAGAACCCCGAUUGCGAAGGCAGCCUGCCGAAGCGUUACUGACGCUGAAGCUCGAAAGUGCGGGUAUCGAACAGGAUUAGAUACCCUGGUAGUC
RNAcentral lists this ribosomal RNA (460 nucleotides) under uncultured bacterium. RNAcentral's name for it is "partial 16S ribosomal RNA". It matches the Rfam family "Bacterial small subunit ribosomal RNA", at positions 338 to 795 of the family's 1533-position model. The record is from RNAcentral.